This 232-nucleotide ribosomal RNA is filed under the name uncultured bacterium. Its description in RNAcentral is "partial small subunit ribosomal RNA". It matches the Rfam family "Bacterial small subunit ribosomal RNA", at positions 26 to 288 of the family's 1533-position model. The record is from RNAcentral.
AGAACGAACGCUGGCGGCACGCCUAACACAUGCAAGUCGAGCGCCCAGCAAUGGGAGCGGCGGACGGGUGAGUAACACGUGGGAACGCGCCCUUCGGUUCGGAAUAACUCAGGGAAACUUGAGCUAAUACCGGAUACGCCCUUACGGGGAAAGAUUUAUUGCCGAAGGAACGGCCCGCGUCCGAUUAGCUAGUUGGUGAGGUAAUGGCUCACCAAGGCGACGAUCGGUAGCU